GGCAAGCUGAAAGCGGAGAUAAAGGCCCAGCGGCUGAAGCUGGAGGAGGGCAAAACUCGGGAGAGCAUUGCGGCUGUGGAGCAGAGAAGGGAUGGAGCAAACAGAUAACAAACGGGGACGGAGGAUUUGCAAGCAGCUGUCUGAGAACAAGAGCUAAUAAACUGCAUAGAAAUAUGCAAGCAAAGAUGCAGCUUCCUUGAUCUUUAAUACCACCAGAAAGUCCUCUGGCUGUAAAUGGUCUGCAUUGGGUAACGGAGACAGGCACAGAUGCAAUCCUUCACUUUUUCCACAUCGGUUGCUGCAGUUCAAAGAGAAAAAUAGAAACACAGUGAGGCAGCAGAGGAAGAAAUGGAUCCAAUCUAAAGGGGUCCCCGUCUCCAAACAGGAGAAAUUCUGUUUCCCUUGAUGAGGGUGGGCACACCUCCUCUUAUGGAUGGUGGUUGUGAUUAACGGACUAAUAUUGCACGUGAUGCAAUGCCCUUAUACGUAACACAGGAAACAUAGCUGUGUAGCUAUGUGGCUGUGGCUCUGUGAAUCUGUAAAACAUUGUGAUGUGAGUGCAGUGAGAAGCUGAGAAGAAAAAGUGAGUAAAUUCUGUCUAGACAUCUAAUGUACAAUAAAUUACAUUGAAAUAUAUACGUAUCGUUAACGUAGCUUUGCCAGACUGGAAUGCAUCUUCACGCAGCAUGGCUUUAAGUAUAUUUUAGAGCACCGAUGUAUAAACUGAUGGCACUGGGAUGGGUAGAAAAUUAAAGGUCCUCUAGUAAUGCGGGUGUCAAGAUGCUACGUAAGCACAUUAUGUAUUGCUCUGAUGAAAUGUUGUGUUUUGUUAAGGA
This is a long non-coding RNA of Gallus gallus (chicken), 836 nucleotides long. Lineage: Eukaryota; Metazoa; Chordata; Aves; Galliformes; Phasianidae. The record is from Ensembl.